UUUCCGUAGGUGAACCUGCGGAAGGAUCAUUAAUAAAUGGUCUACGUUUUUUUAAGUAGACGCUUAAUAAUCCUACCCUUUGUGAAUUUGUUUGUUUGAAAUAAUUUUUUUUAAAAUUAUUGAUGUCUUUCCCUGUUGAAUUGGUUGUUUAUGGACAUGAUUCGCAGGGAGUGUCAGUAAUUUUUAAAAAGACCUUUUUUAAAUUAAACUUUUUGUAUUCAUUUGUCUAAAAUUAUUUUAUAAUAUAAAAACAACUUUUGACAAUGGAUCUCUUGGUUCUCGCAACGAUGAAGAACGCAGCAAAAUGCGAUAAGUAGUGUGAAUUGCAGAAUACGUGAAUCAUCGAAUCUUCGAACGCAUAUUGCACUUUUUUAGUUUACUAAAAAAGUAGUCUGUUUGAGUAUCAGUAAAAUAUUCUCAUAAAAACAUUGUUUUUUAUGGUUAUGAGUGUUUUACAACGAUACAAGUUGUUUCACUUUAAAUUUUUUUUAAAAUUUGAAUUUUUCUAAUUUUAAAAUAAAAUUGGAUAAAAUUUUCCCGUAAAAAGGAAUAACCUAAACAAUUUUAAUUUUUGAUUAGAAUUCUUCAAUUAUAAAGGAAAAUUUAACUAAAUAACUUGAUCUCAAAUCAGAUAAGAGUACCCGCUGAACUUAAGCAUAUCAAUAAGCGGAGGAAAAGAAACUAACAAGGAUUCCCUUAGUAACGGCGAGUGAAGCGGGAAGAGCUCAAAUUUGAAAUCUUCAAGGUUUUACCUUGACGAAUUGUAGUUUAAAGAAGUGUUUUCUGUUGAAGUUUUGGUAAAAGUUCUUUGGAAUAGGACAUCAUAGGGGUGAGAAUCCCGUAUUUGACCAUUAUUUUCAGCUGUGUGAUACACUUUCAAAGAGUCGGAUUGUUUGGGAAUGCAGUCCAAAAUGGGUGGUAAAUUUCAUCUAAAGCUAAAUAUUGGCGAGAGACCGAUAGCGAACAAGUACCGUGAGGGAAAGAUGAAAAGAACUUUGAAAAGAGAGUUAAACAGUACGUGAAAUUGUCAAAAGGGAAGCGUUUGACACCAGUGUUGUUUUCUCGAAAAUCAAUUAAAAAAAGUUGGAUUUUGUGUUGUAUUGACCUUAACAGCUUGCUUCACUCUUUUCUGCUUUUUUUAAUGCACUUUUCGUUUAGCAAGUCAACAUCAGUUUCUUUUGUUGUAAAAGGGUCAUUGGAAGGUGGCUUUCUCUUCGGAGAAAGUGUUUAUAGCCUUUGAUCUCUGCAAUCGGAGAGACUGAGGUCUGCAGCGUAGAUCCUUCGGGUUAGAUACAUUUGUGCUAAGCUACAGCUUUUCAUAGACAACUUGUUGACUAUGUUUAGUCUUGUAACUUACCCGCUUAUGCUAUUU
RNAcentral lists this unclassified non-coding RNA (1372 nucleotides) under uncultured Neocallimastigales. RNAcentral describes it as "partial contains small subunit ribosomal RNA, internal transcribed spacer 1, 5.8S ribosomal RNA, internal transcribed spacer 2, and large subunit ribosomal RNA". The stretch from base 618 to 1372 matches the Rfam family "Eukaryotic large subunit ribosomal RNA", at positions 1 to 617 of the family's 3401-position model. Lineage: Eukaryota; Fungi; Neocallimastigomycota; Neocallimastigomycetes; Neocallimastigales. The record is from RNAcentral.